Long non-coding RNA from Eriocheir sinensis (Chinese mitten crab), 2280 nucleotides. RefSeq lists it as uncharacterized. The record is from RefSeq and is a predicted model, not a curated record. The transcript is spliced from 3 exons. NCBI's taxonomy places the organism in Eukaryota, Metazoa, Arthropoda, Malacostraca, Decapoda, Varunidae.
CCAUUUCCAAGCCCUUCCCUGUCCCGCAUGCAGCUGUCCCUGGCAGGCUGUUGCUGAACCCUGGUAAUCUAGGGGAACCGCAGUGAGGUUAUGGGCGUGUUCCGUGAAUAUCCAAAAUCUUAGCAUUUCGUCCCAACUCUAAACUGUCCCUAAAUUGUUCUUGCAACCAGUUAGCUCGUUUUCCUACGUUCCUCAGUAUACGUGUGUCAUCACCCCACCCAUUCCCCCUCCUCUCAUCACAUGGCUCUCAGAACACUUGUAUCUCCCCGCAGGCUUCCACCAGCACUGGCAGAAGCCUCAUCGCCGCUCCUCGCCCCGGAACCCUCUAACAAUCCAGGCGGCAGGCGACACAUUAUUUUGCGUAAUACGGAAGCAUUGGUCCGCCCCCACGAUGCUAGGUCAAUAAAAGACAACAGAAAGCGCCGGUGGGCUUUUUUGCACCCCUGGCCUGGCCCGGCCCUCACCCCUCCACCUCCGCGCUGCGUCUGUGUUUGGCUGUCCCUCUCAUGCUAAGUCGCGGGUUGAAGGGAGGAGGGGAGGGACUGACGCGCCACCAUAACCUUCCCGGGGAGCGACGCGCCUGGCGGAGGGUCGCUUCGUCGAGGGAGACACAUGAGGAGGUAUGUGUGGGUGGGUGCGUGUGUGAGUCAGGGCAGGGACGCGCGGCAGUCACGGGAUCAGGGAGGACCGGAGGGAAUGCGAUGGUUAUUGAUGGCGCACAGACCCGGCGAGCGCCAUAAAUUUCGGUGAGAAAGAGACCCGCCGAACACGUCCGCAAUAAAAUACGCAGUUGCAGACGAACUUUAUUUUGAAGAAAGAGCGUGAACAUUGCGAUUGAUGAGUCAGUUUAUGCGUUGAUUAUUUUCCGGUUUAUCGUGAAUGCGUCUCUCACGGAUCUCAGGCUAGCGUUCAAUAGGCAGAGAAAUGGGCCAUCAACGGAAGGUUCAUUUAUCCGCAGUUGUCUUGGUGUUAGGAGAGGGUGAUCGUGUUGCGGGUGAUUUAAAUUGCCCACUAAGUUGAUGUGUGGAAGAGUUGAGGAAUGUAAGUGAUCACCUUUCUCCGUGGCAGUGAAAGUCGACGUCCACGCGGGAGAAAGAGGCGACACAAAGGAAAAAGAAAAGUUCCUCCAGAUAAGGACAAGAGCGAGAAAACUGACAACUUUAAGGUGGACGCAUAAUAAAGAAUACUAUAUACCCAUUACUUGUAAGAAAUUGCGGAAAAUAGUAAGAGCAUGGGAACUCGCUGUCGAGAAGUUUUGUUGAGAAGCCUGAGAUUAUAAAUUAAACGUGACCAAACUCUUAAUUCAUCUUAGUGAAAUAUAAAAUAAGAUUGGAAAGCGUAUGACAUUAUUCGCGACAUCAUUCGAAAACACUUUUGAGAACCUCGAAUUUAUGCGCCCACGACGAAGAAAAGAAAGAAAACCGGUUAGAAAUGAGAAUAAUCGAAAUAAGGUUUAAAGAAAGAACAGUCUGCGUAUUUGUACAUGGCGUAAUUGGAAGAACGAGAGAGAGUCUUUGAUUCAUCACCAACCAACACCACAUUCCACGUAGACCAGGAAACACGACCACAGAUCUCCCUGAACAUUACACAAAGAUAACAACACGCCGAUGACCGCGCCGCCACUCCGCACCACCGUCAGGCAGCAAGGGAGUAAAGGUCAUGCAGAGGCUCAGAGGUCAUUGUGCGGCAGUGCAAUGAAAGAAAAAGGAAACUACGGCGCUUUGUGAGAGGAGAAAAAAAUAAAUAAAAAGAAAUAACAAACGACUCACUCACAUUAAUAACAACGAGUCCGAACCUUCGAAACUAAAAAAAGGAAAAGAAACAGGAACUAUUCAAUUUACGAAGACAUAAGUAACAGAAUCGAAGUCUCAAUUACAUAUCCGCUGCAAGAGAUAUUACACUCUGUCUGGCCGGCUCGCGGAGGGGAGGGAGGGGCGAGGUGAGACAAGUCGGAGAGGUGGAGGUUGGGGCGGCGGGUUGGAAGGAAGGAAGGGCGGGACUGGACGAAACUGGACCUCACGCACGCUGCCUCACGCCACCCGACCAACCAACCAACCGGCCAUCUCCAUCUCCGAUCAGUAACUUUCUAUCGCCGGGGAAGAUCCUGUUCUCUUCUCCUCUGCUAAGCCCCGGCUCAUACUGUGAAAGCGAAUAUACGGACGGCUCAGCGCUGCAUGCGUGAUCCUUUUCCACGACUAAAUGUGACAGCAGCGUGAGAGAAACUGAAUGGAUAGAAGACGCCUCAAUGGGGGGGGUGGGAUGGACGGCGAUGGAGGGAAG